CCUACGGGAGGCAGCAGUAGGGAAUCUUUCACAAUGGGCGAAAGCCUGAAGGAGCAACGCAGCGUGCAGGAUGAAGGCCCUCGGGUUGUAAACUGCUUUUAUAAGCGAGAAAUAUGAUGGUAACUUAUGAAUAAGGAUCGGCUAACUACGUGACAGCAGCCGCGGUCAUACGUAGGAUCCGAGCAUUAUCCGGAGUGACUGGGUGUAAAGAGUUGUGUAGGUGUGAUAAUAAGGAGCUAGUGGAAUCUGGGUGCUUAACCAUUCAGACUAUUAGCUAAACUGGUAAGCUCGAGACCGUUAGGCGUAAGUGGAAUUUGUAGUGUAGGAGUGAAAUCCGUAGAUAUUAGAAGGAACACCGAUAGCGUAGGCAGGUUGCUGGGACGGUUCUGACACUAAGGCACGAAGGCGUAGGGAGCAAACGGGAUUAGAUACCCGAGUAGUC
Molecule: ribosomal RNA, 442 nt
Filed under: uncultured bacterium
Lineage: Bacteria
Description: partial 16S ribosomal RNA
Rfam family: Bacterial small subunit ribosomal RNA
Source: RNAcentral